RNAcentral lists this ribosomal RNA (253 nucleotides) under uncultured bacterium. Its description in RNAcentral is "partial 16S ribosomal RNA". It matches the Rfam family "Bacterial small subunit ribosomal RNA", at positions 524 to 776 of the family's 1533-position model. The record is from RNAcentral.
UACAGAGGCCUCGAGCGUUAGGCGGAAUCACUGGGCUUAAAGCGUGUGUAGGGGGAUGCCUAAGUACCUUGUGAAAUCCCACAGCUUAACUGUGGAACUGCUUGGUAUACUGGGUGUCUUGAGCCACUCAGGGGCUACCGGAACAAGCGGUGGAGCGGUGAAAUGCGUAGAUAUCGCUUGGAACGCCAAUGGUGAAAACAGGUAGCUGGGGGUGUGCUGACACUGAGACACGAAAGCCAGGGGAGCAAACGGG